RNAcentral lists this ribosomal RNA (469 nucleotides) under uncultured bacterium. RNAcentral's name for it is "bacterial SSU rRNA". It matches the Rfam family "Bacterial small subunit ribosomal RNA", at positions 30 to 490 of the family's 1533-position model. The record is from RNAcentral.
AUUGAACGCUGGCGGCAGGCUUAACACAUGCAAGUCGAGCGGAGAUGAGGUGCUUGCACCUUAUCUUAGCGGCGGACGGGUGAGUAAUGCUUAGGAAUCUGCCAUUUAGUGGGGGACAACAUUCCGAAAGGAAUGCUAAUACCGCAUACGUCCUACGGGAGAAAGCAGGGGAUCUUCGGACCUUGCGCUAAAUGAUGAGCCUAAGUCGGAUUAGCUAGUUGGUGGGUAAAGGCCUACCAAGGCGACGAUCUGUAGCGGGUCUGAGAGGAUGAUCCGCCACACUGGGACUGAGACACGGCCCAGACUCCUACGGGAGGCAGCAGUGGGGAAUAUUGGACAAUGGGCGGAAGCCUGAUCCAGCCAUGCCGCGUGUGUGAAGAAGGCCUUUUGGUUGUAAAGCACUUUUUAAGCGAGGAGGAGGCUACUAGUACUAAUACUACUGGAUAGUGGACGUUACUCGCAGAAUAAG